UACGGAGGAUGCGAGCGUUAUCCGGAUUUAUUGGGUUUAAAGGGCGCGUAGGCGGGCUUUUAAGUCAGCGGUAAAAAUUCGGGGCUCAACCCCGUCCGGCCGUUGAAACUGGGGGUCUUGAGUGGGCGAGAAGAAGGCGGAAUGCGUGGUGUAGCGGUGAAAUGCAUAGAUAUCACGCAGAACCCCGAUUGCGAAGGCAGCCUUCCGGCGCCCUACUGACGCUGAGGCACGAAAGUGCGGGGAUCGAACAGG
This 252-nucleotide ribosomal RNA is filed under the name uncultured bacterium. RNAcentral's name for it is "partial 16S ribosomal RNA". It matches the Rfam family "Bacterial small subunit ribosomal RNA", at positions 524 to 776 of the family's 1533-position model. The record is from RNAcentral.